GAAAUGUGAUUACAAUUUAUUUAUCUUGAACUUAAAAUGAUGAAAAGAAAAACAGAUAUGAAAGAUCUCAGCAUUACUUUUAAAGUUGACAAAGGCAAAUGAAAAAGGAUGAGAAAAGCAUGACAAGACAUUGAUGUUGCAGACUUUUGAAAAAAAAUUAUGGUCAGAUGUUGAGAACAGAUAGGUCAUAUAAGAAUUUGGAUAAAAAAAACCGAAAGCGAGAAAUUUUGAGAACCUUUUUACUACAAUGAAUGAUUUUGAUUGCAUUACAUGCAUUGCAUUAUGAGCACUCAGUACAUGCAUUCAUGAGAAGUUGUAACAAAGAUAGAAAAUUUUCAUUUCUUAAUGAAAAACAACAUUUUGGUAAAGACGAUGAUCAAACAAAGGAAUUCAAAAGAGAUAAAUUUACUUGUUUAAAGAUGAGAACUCAAAUUUGAAAUUUCAAAGAUGAGAAUUUUAAAGUUGUGGAGCCUCUGUUGGGGAUGAGCUUUUCCAGAUGAGAUUUUAAAAUUGUGGAGCCUCUAUUGAAAGGAGCUUUUCCGGAUGAGAUUUUAAAGUUGUUGAGCCUCUGUUGAGAGGAGCUUUUCCAAGAUGAGAAUUUUAAAGUUGUGGAGCCUCUGUUGAGAGGAGCUUUUCCAAAUGAGAUUUUAAAGUUAUUGAGCCUCUGCUGAGAGGAGCUUUUUCAAGAGAAUUUAUUUUCAGACAAAAUCGUUGCUUUGUCUUUGCCCUAUUCCUGAUUCUCAAUAAUGUGCAAAGAGGGACAGCUAUAGACACCGAUUUUGUCCAGGUCUACUGUUUUAUUUUUAUAAUAAUAAUAAUAAUAUUUAACAAAACAAACAAAAAAACAAAACAAACAAAACAAACAAAAAACAAAACAGAAAUAAGACAGAAGUCAAGGGGUUGGUACGAUACCAAACUGCUCCGACCAACUCCCUGUCAACCACUCAACCAACUCCCCAACCAACCCAACCAAUCCCCUGACCAACUCUCUCAGCCUACUUACAACCUACCUAUAGCCACCUAGAUUCCCCUAAAUAGAAACCCUUUAAAAUCCCCAACCAUCUUCCUCAUUGGGGAUCGGUCAGCUCUCGGAAACAAAAAGAAAAAAUCCAUUUUCAAACACACAGCUACCACCCUCAAAAUACACGAGCACCAUCUAGCCGAAAAAGAAAAAAAAAACACAAAAAAAAAUAAAAACACAAAAACAGAAACAAAAACCAAAACGAAAUCAUAGUCCUCCCCGUAAGGAGGAACCUCAGCGCCGAGCCACCUGCACCAACAAAGAAAGGUACCAGUUAGCUUUUGACACAAAAAAAAAUUAUCGAAAACUUCAAAACCCUAUCUACGCGAAUCAAGGCCCUUUUUUGUGAAAAGGAGGCCAGAUUGUGCUCAGGAGGUCGAGAAGAGUUUGUGGGAGAAUUUUAUGAUUUUAUCGACCACCGGUGACCGACGAACGGCGACAGCACCGACGGCCGGUCGGCGUGCGGCUGAAGAAGAAGAGAAAAAAAAAAGCUAUUUUUUUUUAAAGAUUAAAAAAAAUGACGAAAAUUUUUUUUUUUACUUUUAUAUAAACUGUCACUAGCCAAAAUGACAUCGUUUCAAUAAAAGCCCAAAACGAUGCCAUUUUAACCAAAGAAGGAUCCGCGCGUUGACCCGAACCCGACUCGAGAUCCGCGUAACCCGACCCGACGACUCGUUCCAGCCAGCCUUGAACUGAUUCAUACGAACCACCAGUGGACUGGACUGAAUCGGUCAGAUCACCCGAACCGCCAAUCUAACUGCUGAACCGGUUAGAUCGCCUGGACCAGCGUUGACCGGUCCGGUUCAGGUAAAAAAAAAUUUUUUUUAAUUUUCUAUUUUUUUAUAUUAUUAUUUUUGUUAUUUUUUUAAUAUUUAUGCAUGAUAAAUUUGUUAGAAUAAGUGUUUAAUUGUUUUAAUAAUAAUAAAAUUGAAAAUAAAUAAUAAUUAAAAUAUAUUAAAAUGUUUAAAAAAAUAAUUUUUAUUAUUUUCCCUGCCUAGAUGUUGGAGGGAAUAAAAAUAUUUUUUUAAAAGAAAUAAUUUCGCCUAGAUGUUGGGGAAUUAUUAUUAAUAAAUUUUCAUAAAAAAUAAAUAUAAAAAAAAUUUUAAAUUAAUUUUUAAAAAUCACUAAAAUCGAACUUGCUUCGAAAAUCUGCCUAGAUGUUGAGAAUUUUUAGAGAUGUUUGUAUUUUCUUAAAAAUGAAAUCUUAAACACUAAUUCUUAAUUUUCAAAAUCAUAGGUUUCUAAAACUCCUAAAAAUCCAAAAUCCCUAAAAUCCAAAACCCCAAAAAGUCCAAAAUCCUCGAAAUCCAAAGUCCUAAAAAAUCCUAAGAACACGUAUGAAAAUUCUAUUUGAAGCAAUUUGUUCCCGAAUACCGCCUAGAUAAUGGGGUAUUUAGGAAAUUUUACUUCGUGAAGUCUUUUCACACGAUUUUAUAAUCGCAUUAAUGAUAAGAUCAAUAAAUAAAAAAAAAAGAUAACGGUAAAUUGGGAUCUUAAAUAUAAACAGUCGCACCUAAGCUCUGCCUAGAUGUUGGAGAGUCGGGGUGGUCUCAUUAUAUUUAAGAAUUCAACUCUUAAAUUGCAUCUCAUUUUACAUGAUAUUCAUUAGUAUUAUAUACGUUAGCAAGUUAUUAUUAGUAUUUACUUGUAUUAUUCUCUCUUUAAUUUUUUAUUCACUACUUAGUGAUAAAAUAUCUUAUAAUAAAAAAUAAUGCUAAAAAAAAAUCUUUUUGUGAUAUUACAAAAUAAAAUAAAAAUAACAUUCCAAAAAAUAAUUAUUGGUACUCUGCCUAGAUGUUGGAGAGUCACCAACAAUUUUCUAUAAAGAGCGUUAUUUCAUUUUAAGGAUUGUUGUGUUAAAUCUUAAGCGAAAAGAGUUAUUUCAAAUUCUACCUAGAUGUUGGAAGAUUUCAGGAUAAUUCUUUAACUUAAAGAUUUUCUCAAUAUUCCUAAAUAAAAAUUUUAGCAAAAAUAUUUAUAAAAUGAAGGGAAUUAAUGUUAAAUUUCAAAUUAAAACCAUUUCUAUCCAACGUCGAAAAUAGCACAUAAUUAAAUGGUACCAAUUUAUAGGUGUUGUGGGGGUGCUAAUCCUUCCCCACGCAUAACCGACACCCAGACCCAACCUGAUUUUUCGUAGAUCGAAAUUUAUCUUUUUGAUAAGACUUUAAACUUGUUUUUAUAGUUUUAUUAAAAAGAUAAACUUUUGGGUGGCCAAUCACACCUUGACAAAGAUUGGUGGCGAGUCCCUCUUUUUAUUUUUUUUUUCGAUUUUAAAAUAUCUCAUUUUUACGUCUGGCGGUCUUAAAACCGUUACGACAGCUUGGCGACUCCACUAGGGAGUUAUUUGAGAGUCAGGCCAAACUCUACUAUGAGUUUCUUCAUUGAUGGAGAUAUCCUUUACAAAAGAGGUCGAGAUCAAGUGCUCUUAAGAUGUGUAAAUACAGCUGAAACAAAAAAAAUUAUUGAAGGAGUGCAUGAUGGAGUUUGUGGGGCACAUGCAAAUGGUCAUAUGAUGGCUAGACAAAUUAUGAGGGCUGGCUAUUAUUGGUUGACAAUAGAGGGAGACUGUAUUGAUUAUGCUAGGAAAUGUCAUAAAUGUCAGAUUUAUGCUAACAAGAUUCAUGCUUCGCCAUCAACAUUACACGUUUUAGCUCUUCUUUGGCCAUUCUCUAUGUGGGGCAUGGAUGUCAUUGGUCCCAUCACUCCAAAAACUUCGAAUGGGCAUAGAUUCAUUUUUGUGAUGAUUGAUUACUUUACCAAAUGGGUAGAGGCUACAUCAUAUGCUAGUGUGACCCGAUCUGUGGUAUGUAAGUUCAUAAAAAAAGAGAUAAUAUGCAGCUAUGGGCUUCCAGAGAUAAUUAUUUCUGAUAAUGCCAAAAACUUGAAUAACAAAGUGAUGAAUGAAAUAUGCACUUAGUUCAAGAUUCGUCAUCGUAAUUCGACACCAUAUCGUCCGAAAAUGAAUAGGGCAGUGGAGGCUGCGAAUAAGAAUAUCAAAAGAAUCCUGGAGAAAAUGACUGAAACUUACAAAGAUUGGCAUGAGAAGUUACCUUUUACCUUGCAUGCUUAUAGAACAUCAGUCAAAACAUCUACUAGGGCCACACCGUUCUCUUUGGUAUAUGGAAUAGAAGCUGUGCUACCGAUCGAAGUGGAAAUUCCCUCACUGAGAGUCCUGAUGGAGGUAAGAAGAAGCAGAAUGGGUUCAAAAUCACUAUGAACAGUUAAACCUCAUUGAAGAGAAAAGACUAUCAGCACUUUGUCAUGGUCAAUUAUAUCGAAAGAAGAUGAUGAGAGCACAUAACAAGAAAACUCAUCCUCGUUGCUUUAGAGAAGGAGACUUAGUGCUAAAAAGAAUCCUUCCAAAUCAACAUGAUAAUUGGGGGAAAUGGAUACCAAAUUGGAAAGGCCCGUAUGUGGUGAAAAAGGUUUUUUCUGAUAGGGCAUUGAUUUUGGCAGAAAUGGAUGGAGGUAAUUUACCUACCCCAAUAAAUUCAGAUGUUGUGAAGAAAUAUUUUGCUUAAAAAAAAUAAAAAUAAAAAAAGAAAAAAAAUGAUGAUAACUUAUCUAAGUUGAAAACCUGAAAAGGUGGCUUAGAUGUGAAGCAAAAGCAUCAUCAAGAAAAGAUCCCACAAUGCAAAGGCAAGUGUAGUUUGACGAACUCUGAAUAAUCAAAGAAGUCAUCUGAUUUAGUUUUAGAGAAAGAAUCUGAGAAUAUUUUGUUCAUGAUUAUCUUGUGAUCAUUCUUUUGACACCUUUAUUUCAACUCAAACACUUUGACAUACACUUGUUGUCAGCCAUAUGAAAUACAUUAUCUUUCUUUUAAAAAUAAUGCCUAUCAUUUCCUUUAUCCUUAUCUGAUAUUUUUGUCCAUUAAAGAAAUGUGAUUACAUUUUAUUUGUCUUGAACUUAAAAUGAUGAAAAAAAAAUAUAUAUGAAAGAUCUCAGCAUUACUUUUAAAGUUGACAAAGGCAAAUGAAAAGGGAUGAGAAAAGCAUGACAAGACAUUGAUGUUGCAGACUUUUAAAAAAAAAUUAUGGUCAGAUGUUGAGAACAGAUAGGUCAUAUAAGAAUUCGGAUAAAA
This 5102-nucleotide long non-coding RNA is filed under the name Durio zibethinus. RNAcentral's name for it is "long non-coding RNA (DZIB_LNC001101)". Lineage: Eukaryota; Viridiplantae; Streptophyta; Magnoliopsida; Malvales; Malvaceae. The record is from RNAcentral.